AUUGAACGCUGGCGGCAUGCCUAACACAUGCAAGUCGAACGGCAGCGCGGGGGCAACCCUGGCGGCGAGUGGCGGACGGGUGAGGAAAGCAUAGGAAUCUGCCCGGUUGUGGGGGAUAACGUAGGGAAACUUACGCUAAUACCGCAUACGACCUUCGGGUGAAAGUGGGGGACCUUCGGGCCUCACGCGAUCGGAUGAGCCUAUGCCCGAUUAGCUAGUUGGCGGGGUAAGAGCCCACCAAGGCGACGAUCGGUAGCUGGUCUGAGAGGAUGAUCAGCCACACUGGGACUGAGACACGGCCCAGACUCCUACGGGAGGCAGCAGUGGGGAAUAUUGGACAAUGGGCGCAAGCCUGAUCCAGCAAUGCCGCGUGUGUGAAGAAGGCCUUCGGGUUGUAAAGCACUUUUGUUCGGGAAGAAAUCCGUGUGGUUAAUACCCGUACGGGAUGACGGUACCGAAAGAAUAAGCACCGGCUAACUUCGUG
RNAcentral lists this ribosomal RNA (484 nucleotides) under uncultured bacterium. RNAcentral's name for it is "partial 16S ribosomal RNA". It matches the Rfam family "Bacterial small subunit ribosomal RNA", at positions 29 to 507 of the family's 1533-position model. The record is from RNAcentral.